RNAcentral lists this ribosomal RNA (468 nucleotides) under uncultured bacterium. RNAcentral describes it as "partial 16S ribosomal RNA". It matches the Rfam family "Bacterial small subunit ribosomal RNA", at positions 28 to 507 of the family's 1533-position model. The record is from RNAcentral.
GACGAACGCUGGCGGCGUGCUUAACACAUGCAAGUCGAACGGAAAGGCCCUGCUUUUGUGGGGUGCUCGAGUGGCGAACGGGUGAGUAACACGUGAGUAACCUGCCCUUGACUUUGGGAUAACUUCAGGAAACUGGGGCUAAUACCGGAUAGGAGCUCCUGCUGCAUGGUGGGGGUUGGAAAGUUUCGGCGGUUGGGGAUGGACUCGCGGCUUAUCAGCUUGUUGGUGGGGUAGUGGCUUACCAAGGCUUUGACGGGUAGCCGGCCUGAGAGGGUGACCGGCCACAUUGGGACUGCGAUACGGCCCAGACUCCUACGGGAGGCAGCAGUGGGGAAUAUUGCAGAAUGGGCGGAAGCCUGAUGCAGCAACGCCGCGUGCGGGAUGACGGCCUUCGGGUUGUAAACCGCUUUCGCCUGUGACGAAGCGUGAGUGACGGUAAUGGGUAAAGAAGCACCGGCUAACUACGUG